ACGAACUCUGGUAUUGAUUGGUGCUUGCAUCAUGAUUUACAUUUGAGUGAGUGGCGAACUGGUGAGUAACACGUGGGAAACCUGCCCAGAAGCGGGGGAUAACACCUGGAAACAGAUGCUAAUACCGCAUAACAACUUGGACCGCAUGGUCCGAGCUUGAAAGAUGGCUUCGGCUAUCACUUUUGGAUGGUCCCGCGGCGUAUUAGCUAGAUGGUGGGGUAACGGCUCACCAUGGCAAUGAUACGUAGCCGACCUGAGAGGGUAAUCGGCCACAUUGGGACUGAGACACGGCCCAAACUCCUACGGGAGGCAGCAGUAGGGAAUCUUCCACAAUGGACGAAAGUCUGAUGGAGCAACGCCGCGUGAGUGAAGAAGGGUUUCGGCUCGUAAAACUCUGUUGUUAAAGAAGAACAUAUCUGAGAGUAACUGUUCAGGUAUUGACGGUAUUUAACCAGAAAGCCACGGCUAACUACGUGCCAGCAGCCGCGGUAAUACGUAGGUGGCAAGCGUUGUCCGGAUUUAUUGGGCGUAAAGCGAGCGCAGGCGGUUUUUUAAGUCUGAUGUGAAAGCCUUCGGCUCAACCGAAGAAGUGCAUCGGAAACUGGGAAACUUGAGUGCAGAAGAGGACAGUGGAACUCCAUGUGUAGCGGUGAAAUGCGUAGAUAUAUGGAAGAACACCAGUGGCGAAGGCGGCUGUCUGGUCUGUAACUGACGCUGAGGCUCGAAAGUAUGGGUAGCAAACAGGAUUAGAUACCCUGGUAGUCCAUACCGUAAACGAUGAAUGCUAAGUGUUGGAGGGUUUCCGCCCUUCAGUGCUGCAGCUAACGCAUUAAGCAUUCCGCCUGGGGAGUACGGCCGCAAGGCUGAAACUCAAAGGAAUUGACGGGGGCCCGCACAAGCGGUGGAGCAUGUGGUUUAAUUCGAAGCUACGCGAAGAACCUUACCAGGUCUUGACAUACUAUGCAAAUCUAAGAGAUUAGACGUUCCCUUCGGGGACAUGGAUACAGGUGGUGCAUGGUUGUCGUCAGCUCGUGUCGUGAGAUGUUGGGUUAAGUCCCGCAACGAGCGCAACCCUUAUUAUCAGUUGCCAGCAUUAAGUUGGGCACUCUGGUGAGACUGCCGGUGACAAACCGGAGGAAGGUGGGGAUGACGUCAAAUCAUCAUGCCCCUUAUGACCUGGGCUACACACGUGCUACAAUGGAUGGUACAACGAGUUGCGAACUCGCGAGAGUAAGCUAAUCUCUUAAAGCCAUUCUCAGUUCGGAUUGUAGGCUGCAACUCGCCUACAUGAAGUCGGAAUCGCUAGUAAUCGCGGAUCAGCAUGCCGCGGUGAAUACGUUCCCGGGCCUUGUACACACCGCCCGUCACACCAUGAGAGUUUGUAACACCCAAAGUCGGUGGG
Molecule: ribosomal RNA, 1402 nt
Filed under: Lactiplantibacillus plantarum
Lineage: Bacteria; Bacillati; Bacillota; Bacilli; Lactobacillales; Lactobacillaceae
Description: bacterial SSU rRNA
Rfam family: Bacterial small subunit ribosomal RNA
Source: RNAcentral